UACAGAGGUUGCAAACGUUGUUCGGAAUCACUGGGCAUAAAGCGCACGUAGGCGGUCUGUUAAGUCAGGUGUGAAAGCCCCCGGCUCAACUGGGGAGGGUCACUCGAUACUGAUCGACUCGAAGGCAGGAGAGGGAAGUGGAAUUCCCGGUGUAGUGGUGAAAUGCGUAGAUAUCGGGAGGAACACCAGUGGCGAAGGCGACUACCUGGCCUGUUUCUUGACGCUGAGGCGCGAAAGCUAGGGGAGCAAACGGG
RNAcentral lists this ribosomal RNA (254 nucleotides) under uncultured bacterium. RNAcentral's name for it is "partial 16S ribosomal RNA". It matches the Rfam family "Bacterial small subunit ribosomal RNA", at positions 524 to 776 of the family's 1533-position model. The record is from RNAcentral.